GGGCUACUCAGCAUAGAGGGUAGAGACUGCCUGCCUUUCCUCUCCUGGUCCCACCUCAGCUGACCCUCUGUCAGCUCGAAUCAGCUGGAAGAGCCAGAGUUAAGAGGCCUACUCAGGAAGGGCCCUGUGGACAUUGUGCCCACUAGGCAGCAUGGGGCUUACUAAGGCCUGGAAUGUCUGUUGCUCCCCAAAGAUGCCUUCUACAGGGGGGAAAAGCUUGUGAACCUGAAGGAGCUGGCUGACGAGGCCCUGCAGAAGUGUCAGGAGAAGGGUUUCCCAGUAAGAUGCUGCAUUGUGGUCAAGCACCUGGGGCGGGCAGAGCUCGGCAUGGGUGACUCCCCCAGCCAGUCCCCCCCAAUUAAGAGGUCAUGCCCGGAUGUGCAGAUCUCAUGGAACCAAGGGAUUGACUUGUGGUGGCAUGAGCUCAUGCAAGAGGCAGGGGAUGAGUGUGAGCCCGAGUGGUGUGAUGCCGAGGACCCACUCUUCAUCCUGUACACCAGUGGCUCCACAGGCAAACCCAAGGGUGUGGUUCACACAGUUGGGGGCUACAUGCUCUAUGUAGCCACAACCUUCAAGUAUGUGUUUGACUUCCAUGCAGAGGAUGUGUUCUGGUGCACGGCAGACAUUGGUUGGAUCACUGGUCAUUCCUACGUCACCUAUGGGCCACUGGCCAAUGGUGCCACCAGUGUUUUG
This 693-nucleotide small RNA is filed under the name Pan troglodytes (chimpanzee). Its description in RNAcentral is "processed transcript". Lineage: Eukaryota; Metazoa; Chordata; Mammalia; Primates; Hominidae. The record is from RNAcentral.